GACGAACGCUGGCGGCGUGCUUAACACAUGCAAGUCGAACGCUGAAGCUUGGUGCUUGCACUGGGUGGAUGAGUGGCGAACGGGUGAGUAAUACGUGAGUAACCUGCCCUUGACUCUGGGAUAAGCCUGGGAAACUGGGUCUAAUACUGGAUACGACAUGUCACCGCAUGGUGGUGUGUGGAAAGGGUUUUACUGGUUUUGGAUGGGCCCACGGCCUAUCAGCUUGUUGGUGGGGUAAUGGCUCACCAAGGCGACGACGGGUAGCCGGCCUGAGAGGGUGACCGGCCACACUGGGACUGAGACACGGCCCAGACUCCUACGGGAGGCAGCAGUGGGGAAUAUUGCACAAUGGGCGGAAGCCUGAUGCAGCGACGCCGCGUGAGGGAUGACGGCCUUCGGGUUGUAAACCUCUUUCAGCACGGAAGAAGCGAAAGUGACGGUACGUGCAGAAGAAGCGCCGGCUAACUACGU
RNAcentral lists this ribosomal RNA (471 nucleotides) under uncultured bacterium. Its description in RNAcentral is "partial 16S ribosomal RNA". It matches the Rfam family "Bacterial small subunit ribosomal RNA", at positions 28 to 506 of the family's 1533-position model. The record is from RNAcentral.